AAGCAUUUUCACACAAGUAAAGGAGAAGGGGCUAUAAUGCAGUAGUUUGUGGUCCGGUUCAGAUUGUCAACAGUAGAAUCCUCUGGAGUCCGUUGUGGCUUUUAUGUUUGUUUUCAUUGGGCAGUUCAGAAUUUUAGUCUCCCACGACUGAGGAUUGCGUACUUUUUUUUCUUUCUGUUUCAUCAUAUCAAUGUUGAAGGAAAAGCAGGUAUUUGAGUAAACCUCCCCUGGUGUUACUUUCUGUAACAUAAAUCCUGUUUGAAAGUCUCUGCCUGUGACAGAACAUCUGAAGAAGAUCCRGUAUAUACCUGCAGAGGCUACAGAGGAAAUCACAAGUCCUGCGUAUGAAAUGAAUAAGGAAAUUUUCAAAUGCCUCAAUGGUGCCGGAAUCAGAGCCUCCAUUCUGCGGCCACUUUGACGACCGUUCAGCUUAUCGCCUGUGGGACAUGGUGAAAUCUUGUCGCUUUAAGAAGGGCCACUGCACAGCYGAAGACUUUGAGUCUAAGGCUCUCCAGUCCAGUUCUCCAUCACUUGCUCCAUCCUACUGUCAAGAUACCAAAAUACUUGAUCUAUGUUGCUUAAGUUAGAGACUCCUCCCCAACUCCAAGUGAACGUUCAGCUUUUAUCGGAUCAGGAAAAUGACCUUGGACUUCCCAGUCACUUCCCAUUUGGCUGCAAACUGAGCUGAGGAUCAUGGACCAUCAGUAACAGUGAGAACGUCAGAUCUGUUUUUCAAUUGUUUGUUUUUAUUCACUUUUAUUUUACUAUUGAAUACCAGAUCUUCUUAUCUUGCUUUUUUU
Long non-coding RNA from Austrofundulus limnaeus, 800 nucleotides. RefSeq lists it as uncharacterized. NCBI's taxonomy places the organism in Eukaryota, Metazoa, Chordata, Actinopteri, Cyprinodontiformes, Rivulidae. The transcript has 2 exons. The record is from RefSeq and is a predicted model, not a curated record.